AUUGAACGCUGGCGGCAGGCCUAACACAUGCAAGUCGGACGGUAGCACAGAGAGCUUGCUCUCGGGUGUCGAGUGGCGGACGGGUGAGUAAUGUCUGGGGAUCUGCCCGAUAGAGGGGGAUAACCACUGGAAACGGUGGCUAAUACCGCAUAACGUCGCAAGACCAAAGAGGGGGACCUUCGGGCCUCUCACUAUCGGAUGAACCCAGAUGGGAUUAGCUAGUAGGCGGGGUAACGGCCCACCUAAGCGACGAUCCCUAGCUGGUCUGAGAGGAUGACCAGCCAAACUGGAACGGAGAAACGGUCAAGACUACUACGGGGAGCAGCAGCGGGGAAUAUUGCACAAUGGGCGCAAGCCUGAUGCAGCCAUGCCGGGUGUAUGAAGAAGGCCUUCGGGUUGUAAAGUACUUUCAGCGGGGAGGAAGGCGAUGUGGUUAAUAACCGCGUCGAUUGACGUUACCCGCAGAAGAAGCACCGGCUAACUCCGUGCCAGCCGCCGCGGUAA
Molecule: ribosomal RNA, 504 nt
Filed under: uncultured bacterium
Lineage: Bacteria
Description: partial 16S ribosomal RNA
Rfam family: Bacterial small subunit ribosomal RNA
Source: RNAcentral